CAGCCCCGACAAGUCUUUGGACACGUGC
This 28-nucleotide small RNA is filed under the name Bombyx mori (domestic silkworm). RNAcentral describes it as "ovarian small RNA-13204". The record is from RNAcentral. Lineage: Eukaryota; Metazoa; Arthropoda; Insecta; Lepidoptera; Bombycidae.